UUUAUUUGUGUUUAAAUAAAACUACAAAUGGAACGAUACAGAGAAGAUUAGCGUGGCCCCUACGCAAGGAUGACAUGCAAAUUCGGGAAGCAUUCCAUAUUUUU
This is a small nuclear RNA of Acomys russatus (golden spiny mouse), 104 nucleotides long. The record is from RefSeq and is a predicted model, not a curated record. Lineage: Eukaryota; Metazoa; Chordata; Mammalia; Rodentia; Muridae.